CCCUUAGAUGUCCUGGGCCGCACGCGCGCUACACUGAUGCAUUCAACGAGUUUUUCCUUGGCCGAGAGGCCUGGGCAAUCUUUUAAACGUGCAUCGUGAUAGGGAUAGAUUAUUGCAAUUAUUAAUCUUGAACGAGGAAUUCCUAGUAAACGCAAAUCAUCAAUUUGCAUUGAUUACGUCCCUGCCCUUUGUACACACCGCCCGUCGCACCUACCGAUUGAAUGGUCCGGUGAAGCCUCGGGAUUGUGGCCAGUUCACUUUAUUGGGAGUUGGCUGCGAGAACUUGUCUAAACCUUAUCAUUUAGAGGAAGGUGAANUCGUANCA
This 325-nucleotide ribosomal RNA is filed under the name uncultured eukaryote. RNAcentral's name for it is "partial 18S ribosomal RNA". It matches the Rfam family "Eukaryotic small subunit ribosomal RNA", at positions 1470 to 1796 of the family's 1831-position model. The record is from RNAcentral.